RNAcentral lists this long non-coding RNA (337 nucleotides) under Homo sapiens (human). Its description in RNAcentral is "HSALNT0347396". The record is from RNAcentral. Lineage: Eukaryota; Metazoa; Chordata; Mammalia; Primates; Hominidae.
GUAUAUCUUCUUUCUCCCCAAUUCUUUCCAAAGAAAUUACUGAUGCUGAGGAAGAUCCUGAGGAUAAAGCAACAAACAUUCUCUGUCAGCAUGGAAGAACCUUUGCUCCAAGCUCUAGGAUUGCCUCAUCAGCUGUUUCAGGACUCACUCUUAGCUAAAGAGAACCCCAUCACUUGUAGACACCUCUCCUUUCCUGCAGGCAGUCUGGAACCAGUGACAUUAAAGACCUGAACCCUGCACCUCAUCUUGGGACAAUUCUAAGGGCUACCUGAGUUCCACAUAUUAUCAAGGACUCAGCUGAAUCUUUUGUCUUAAAUCAUUUUUCAGAUGGAAAACU